GAGUUUGAUCGUGGCUCAGGAUGAACGCUGGCGGCGUGCCUAAUACAUGCAAGUCGAGCGAACAGACGAGGAGCUUGCUCCUCUGACGUUAGCGGCGGACGGUGAGUAACACGUGGAUAACCUACCUAUAAGACUGGGAUAACUUCGGGAACCGGAGCUAAUACCGGAUAAUAUAUUGAACCGCAUGGUUCAAUAGUGAAGACGGUUUUGCUGUCACUUAUAGAUGGAUCCGCGCCGCAUUAGCUAGUUGGUAAGGUAACGGCUUUACCAAGGCAACGACUAGGGGA
Molecule: ribosomal RNA, 287 nt
Filed under: uncultured microorganism
Description: partial 16S ribosomal RNA
Rfam family: Bacterial small subunit ribosomal RNA
Source: RNAcentral